This is a long non-coding RNA of Rosa chinensis, 1035 nucleotides long. RefSeq lists it as uncharacterized. The transcript is spliced from 2 exons. The record is from RefSeq and is a predicted model, not a curated record. Lineage: Eukaryota; Viridiplantae; Streptophyta; Magnoliopsida; Rosales; Rosaceae.
UAUAUAUAAAUAUAAAAUCAGUCUGGAAGGACCCAACAUCGACCUAUUUCUUUAACCCGCCGAGCUGUGACACAGACCCGAUUACAAUUGGUUCUCCCUCAUCUGGCAGAUUCCCGGCAUAGCAUCGGCAGCAACUGGUCUAGAUGGAUAGCGCGAAGUGGAACCCGACACCGGUAGACUGUAGGAGGAGAUCAAAGCUUAAUUGAAAGCUUCGGCCAUUCCGAUGUAUUUUUGAUGUUUUCCUAUGGCUCCAGUGAUAGGUUGCAAUGCAUGAGUCCAUGCGUUGGCAUCUAUGGCGACCUAAGUAGUUAUCGUUCAAGUAUUCGUUGUUUUUUUGCGAAAGAGUCAUGGUCUUCGAUAUGAGGAUCACUCGUGAUUGAGGCGGAUUUUUAAGCUAUGGUGAGUGCCACGAGCCAUGUUCCGACCAGACUUAUUUGCACCCUGCCAAGGAAACACAAAGGAAUUUGGUGGUCCUCUGCGUACAACUGUACAUGAUCUAGGGAACAUCUCGACGUUUUUCGGUGAAGGUUGGAACAAGAAUGAUCAACCCCUCAAAACGAGGCUCCCCUCGUCAAUCUAAUUCCGAUCAAAUUUAGUGAUGGAUUUCCAGGUUUAGGUGUCCUUGUUGGAAAUCAGCUUUACAGUGGAGGUGCAGCAUGUUGGCACUUCCAAGAAUUGCAUGGUGCCCUCGAUGUGGUCUUGAGGGCGUCGGGUCAAUGCUGCAGCAAAGCUUGCCUAGGCUAUUGGGCUGGCUUGCUCUCUUUGGGGUUGGGAUAGGGCAUUUCGGCCUUAUCUUAACCCUCAUAGGGAGUGGGCUAGUCUUUUUAAGGCUGUGUUUUAUUUAAGUUUUACUUUGCCUAUUUACUAUGUCAUAGUGGUCCAUAGUUUAUAGGCUUGCUUUUAAUAAGUGAGCGUGGAGUAUUCAAUGAGUGAACCUAUUUCUAUGUAUCGCGUGGUAACACCACAACUUCUUAUCUGUCCAUAGAUGGCAGAGGGAGGCAUGUAGUGUUCAAUGAGUUGACUUAUUUCUAUGUA